This 193-nucleotide ribosomal RNA is filed under the name uncultured bacterium. RNAcentral describes it as "partial 16S ribosomal RNA". It matches the Rfam family "Bacterial small subunit ribosomal RNA", at positions 326 to 539 of the family's 1533-position model. The record is from RNAcentral.
ACGCUCGACACCUACGCAGCAGUGGGGAAUAUUGCACAAUGGGGGAAACCCUGAUGCAGCGACGCCGCGUGAAGGAAGAAGUAUCUCGGUAUGUAAACUUCUAUCAGCAGGGAAGAAAAUGACGGUACCUGACUAAGAAGCCCCGGCUAACUACGUGCCAGCAGCCGCGGUAAUCUGAGCGGGCUGGCAAGGC